GUUAGGUUAGUUCAGUGGGUAGAACGACAGAUUGAUAACCUGUAAGUCAUGGGUUCGAAUCCCAUACCAAACUCCA
Molecule: transfer RNA, 76 nt
Filed under: Planctomycetaceae bacterium
Lineage: Bacteria; Pseudomonadati; Planctomycetota; Planctomycetia; Planctomycetales; Planctomycetaceae
Description: tRNA-Ile
Rfam family: tRNA
About the family: Transfer RNA (tRNA) molecules are approximately 80 nucleotides in length. Their secondary structure includes four short double-helical elements and three loops (D, anti-codon, and T loops). Further hydrogen bonds mediate the characteristic L-shaped molecular structure. tRNAs have two regions of fundamental functional importance: the anti-codon, which is responsible for specific mRNA codon recognition, and the 3' end, to which the tRNAs corresponding amino acid is attached (by aminoacyl-tRNA synthetases). tRNAs cope with the degeneracy of the genetic code in two manners: having more than one tRNA (with a specific anti-codon) for a particular amino acid; and 'wobble' base-pairing, i.e. permitting non-standard base-pairing at the 3rd anti-codon position.
Source: RNAcentral